UACAGUUUGCAGAUCUUGAGGAUAAUGUCCUGUUACAUUAAUAACAGAUUCUACACAAAAAUAAGCUUCCAGAGGCUCCUGAGCUAAACUGUCACUUUAACUUGAUCAUGAAUCACAUGACCGGCAUGGUGGGAAAAGUGCAUCUCUGAUGGAGGCCAAAAUCAUCGAGCCGAACCCAGACCAAGACCGAGGAUCAAACCAAUUCAAGACAUUUUUAAAAAUCCAUUACUAUAAAAAAUAACAUCCUCAAAGGUCCUGGUUGCACUGGUGCACUUUGCUAUUUCCAUUUAACUCAAACUGGUAUGCAAGUAAACUGCAAGUACAUACCAUACCACUUGUCUCAUAAAAAUAGUUAAAGGUAAAACUGAAAACCAGACAUUCAGCCUGUCAGCUGCCUCAACCGCAGGCAGCUGAUUCUUCGAUGCACAGGUUGCUUUCUAGGUUACGAGGAAACCUGAAUGUUGAAAGCAUCUGCAUAAGUCUGGGCUGGGAGAUGAUGGAGUUUGUGUUUACUUUGCAUGUGAGCUUUUCUAAAUUUGUUGAGUCAGCUGAAUGAGGAAGAAGUGAGGAGAGGAAGCAUUUCUUGGAAAGUGGAUCAGAUGUUUCCUGAACCUACGUUAGCUAACCUGGCGCCGUCUCUCUGCUUUGUUUGGGCUGCAAGCUUCUGCUUUUUUAGUGAAGGUUUAUAUAUGAAAUAAAUUUAAGAGUCCCACAAGAUUAGUUUCCCUUAAAGUUGCUGAAUGCUACUUUCAUUUUAAAAAAAGGAUUUUUCUCACGUAUUUGUGGAAAAAUGUCUGCAUGUCGUGAUAGUUUGGUCUAAAACAGAUAAUAUCAUCUGUCAAAAAAAAAAAACAAAAACAGAAAUCAAGCUCCUCUGCUUGCUCCCAG
This is a long non-coding RNA of Poecilia latipinna (sailfin molly), 888 nucleotides long. RefSeq lists it as uncharacterized. Lineage: Eukaryota; Metazoa; Chordata; Actinopteri; Cyprinodontiformes; Poeciliidae. The record is from RefSeq and is a predicted model, not a curated record. The transcript is spliced from 3 exons.